This is a long non-coding RNA of Mastomys coucha (southern multimammate mouse), 738 nucleotides long. RefSeq lists it as uncharacterized. The record is from RefSeq and is a predicted model, not a curated record. The transcript is spliced from 4 exons. Lineage: Eukaryota; Metazoa; Chordata; Mammalia; Rodentia; Muridae.
UGAGAGCUCCUGAGGCGUGGCGAAGACAGCUCUCUCUGUGACCUAAGGACUCCGAAGAUCAUCAGUUUCUGCCAGCAGAAAAAGGUAGAAACGGACUCGCAGAAGGGGUUGUCCUUGGCCCACAGACGCACACAAGGAAGUUUCACGUCAGGAUUUGAAGCCAAUCACUAUGACUCUAAAGGUUUUUUUGGAGAUGGAGACUGAGGACUAGCAAAAUUCAGACCUGUCCAGAGUCAGCCUACAAAUUUAAAUCAGAACUGGGGAAAAGAAAAGAAAACCCUCACUGUUUCCAAGCUGUUUUUGCUAAAAACAGCUUUGGUAUAAUAGUUUGUUGCUUUGUGCCAAGCAACCGAUAUACCCAGGUAAACAAACUUAUAAAGGUGGAUGAUGUGAAGACAUAGUCAAGUAUCACCAAGACAAGACUUGAGGACAGAAAUAGACAAGAGGACUCUGUGUUUUCCAGUUCAAAAGUACUAUGAUCUUAUGAUCCUAGGCAAAUAAAAGAAAAGGAAAAGCUCUCUGCAGUGUGGGGAUGUGGGAGGCACUGUAUGUGUAUACGAGCGCUAGUGAGUGCUCAGGCAGCCUGCAUGCUUUUGGAGUCUACAUUGACCAAGUAGCUUUUCUGUGAAAUUCCCUGGACUAAACAAUUUCACUACUAGAAACAUGUUGCAGUAUUCAUACGUAUCAUACAGCAACACAUGUUAACCAACACAGUUAUUGAAUGUAGAAAUUUAAGUA